UUAAGCGACUAAGCGUACACGGUGGAUGCCCUGGCAGUCAGAGGCGAUGAAGGACGUGCUAAUCUGCGAUAAGCGUCGGUAAGGUGAUAUGAACCGUUAUAACCGGCGAUUUCCGAAUGGGGAAACCCAGUGUGUUUCGACACACUAUCAUUAACUGAAUCCAUAGGUUAAUGAGGCGAACCGGGGGAACUGAAACAUCUAAGUACCCCGAGGAAAAGAAAUCAACCGAGAUUCCCCCAGUAGCGGCGAGCGAAAGGGGAGCAGCCCAGAGCCUGAAUCAGUGUGUGUGUUAGUGGAAGCGUCUGGAAAGGCGCGCGAUACAGGGUGACAGCCCCGUACACAAAAAUGCACAUGCUGUGAGCUCGAUGAGUAGGGCGGGACACGUGGUAUCCUGUCUGAAUAUGGGGGGACCAUCCUCCAAGGCUAAAUACUCCUGACUGACCGAUAGUGAACCAGUACCGUGAGGGAAAGGCGAAAAGAACCCCGGCGAGGGGAGUGAAAAAGAACCUGAAACCGUGUACGUACAAGCAGUGGGAGCACGCUUAGGCGUGUGACUGCGUACCUUUUGUAUAAUGGGUCAGCGACUUAUAUUCUGUAGCAAGGUUAACCGAAUAGGGGAGCCGAAGGGAAACCGAGUCUUAACUGGGCGUUAAGUUGCAGGGUAUAGACCCGAAACCCGGUGAUCUAGCCAUGGGCAGGUUGAAGGUUGGGUAACACUAACUGGAGGACCGAACCGACUAAUGUUGAAAAAUUAGCGGAUGACUUGUGGCUGGGGGUGAAAGGCCAAUCAAACCGGGAGAUAGCUGGUUCUCCCCGAAAGCUAUUUAGGUAGCGCCUCGUGAACUCAUCUCCGGGGGUAGAGCACUGUUUCGGCAAGGGGGUCAUCCCGACUUACCAACCCGAUGCAAACUGCGAAUACCGGAGAAUGUUAUCACGGGAGACACACGGCGGGUGCUAACGUCCGUCGUGAAGAGGGAAACAACCCAGACCGCCAGCUAAGGUCCCAAAGUCAUGGUUAAGUGGGAAACGAUGUGGGAAGGCCCAGACAGCCAGGAUGUUGGCUUAGAAGCAGCCAUCAUUUAAAGAAAGCGUAAUAGCUCACUGGUCGAGUCGGCCUGCGCGGAAGAUGUAACGGGGCUAAACCAUGCACCGAAGCUGCGGCAGCGACACUAUGUGUUGUUGGGUAGGGGAGCGUUCUGUAAGCCUGUGAAGGUGUGCUGUGAGGCAUGCUGGAGGUAUCAGAAGUGCGAAUGCUGACAUAAGUAACGAUAAAGCGGGUGAAAAGCCCGCUCGCCGGAAGACCAAGGGUUCCUGUCCAACGUUAAUCGGGGCAGGGUGAGUCGACCCCUAAGGCGAGGCCGAAAGGCGUAGUCGAUGGGAAACAGGUUAAUAUUCCUGUACUUGGUGUUACUGCGAAGGGGGGACGGAGAAGGCUAUGUUGGCCGGGCGACGGUUGUCCCGGUUUAAGCGUGUAGGCUGGUUUUCCAGGCAAAUCCGGAAAAUCAAGGCUGAGGCGUGAUGACGAGGCACUACGGUGCUGAAGCAACAAAUGCCCUGCUUCCAGGAAAAGCCUCUAAGCAUCAGGUAACAUCAAAUCGUACCCCAAACCGACACAGGUGGUCAGGUAGAGAAUACCAAGGCGCUUGAGAGAACUCGGGUGAAGGAACUAGGCAAAAUGGUGCCGUAACUUCGGGAGAAGGCACGCUGAUAUGUAGGUGAGGUCCCUCGCGGAUGGAGCUGAAAUCAGUCGAAGAUACCAGCUGGCUGCAACUGUUUAUUAAAAACACAGCACUGUGCAAACACGAAAGUGGACGUAUACGGUGUGACGCCUGCCCGGUGCCGGAAGGUUAAUUGAUGGGGUUAGCGCAAGCGAAGCUCUUGAUCGAAGCCCCGGUAAACGGCGGCCGUAACUAUAACGGUCCUAAGGUAGCGAAAUUCCUUGUCGGGUAAGUUCCGACCUGCACGAAUGGCGUAAUGAUGGCCAGGCUGUCUCCACCCGAGACUCAGUGAAAUUGAACUCGCUGUGAAGAUGCAGUGUACCCGCGGCGAGACGGAAAGACCCCGUGAACCUUUACUAUAGCUUGACACUGAACAUUGAGCCUUGAUGUGUAGGAUAGGUGGGAGGCUUAGAAGUGUGGACGCCAGUCUGCAUGGAGCCGACCUUGAAAUACCACCCUUUAAUGUUUGAUGUUCUAACGUUGACCCGUAAUCCGGGUUGCGGACAGUGUCUGGUGGGUAGUUUGACUGGGGCGGUCUCCUCCUAAAGAGUAACGGAGGAGCACGAAGGUUGGCUAAUCCUGGUCGGACAUCAGGAGGKUAGUGCAAUGGCAUAAGCCAGCUUGACUGCGAGCGUGACGGCGCGAGCAGGUGCGAAAGCAGGUCAUAGUGAUCCGGUGGUUCUGAAUGGAAGGGCCAUCGCUCAACGGAUAAAAGGUACUCCGGGGAUAACAGGCUGAUACCGCCCAAGAGUUCAUAUCGACGGCGGUGUUUGGCACCUCGAUGUCGGCUCAUCACAUCCUGGGGCUGAAGUAGGUCCCAAGGGUAUGGCUGUUCGCCAUUUAAAGUGGUACGCGAGCUGGGUUUAGAACGUCGUGAGACAGUUCGGUCCCUAUCUGCCGUGGGCGCCGGAGAACUGAGGGGGGCUGCUCCUAGUACGAGAGGACCGGAGUGGACGCAUCACUGGUGUUCGGGUUGUCAUGCCAAUGGCACUGCCCGGUAGCUAAAUGCGGAAGAGAUAAGUGCUGAAAGCAUCUAAGCACGAAACUUGCCCCGAGAUGAGUUCUCCCUGACCCUUUAAGGGUCCUGAAGGAACGUUGAAGACGACGACGUUGAUAGGCCGGGUGUGUAAGCGCAGCGAUGCGUUGAGCUAACCGGUACUAAUGAACCGUGAGGCUUAACCUU
RNAcentral lists this ribosomal RNA (2901 nucleotides) under Escherichia coli. RNAcentral's name for it is "bacterial LSU rRNA". Lineage: Bacteria; Pseudomonadati; Pseudomonadota; Gammaproteobacteria; Enterobacterales; Enterobacteriaceae. The record is from RNAcentral.